This 432-nucleotide ribosomal RNA is filed under the name uncultured bacterium. RNAcentral describes it as "bacterial SSU rRNA". It matches the Rfam family "Bacterial small subunit ribosomal RNA", at positions 354 to 776 of the family's 1533-position model. The record is from RNAcentral.
GUCGAGAAUCUUUGGCAAUGGGCGAAAGCCUGACCAUGCGACGCCGCGUGCGGGAUGAAGGCCUUCGGGUCGUAAACCGCUGUUACGAGGGACGAAGAUUUUGCCUGCGAACAGUUGGCAAAAUUUGACGGUACCUCGAGAGAAAGCCACGGCCAACUCCGUGCCAGCAGCCGCGGUAAUACGGAGGUGGCGAGCGUUGUUCGGAUUUACUGGGUGUAAAGGGCACGUAGGCGGUUCUGCAAGCCUUGCCUGAAAGGCACUGGCUCAACCAGGGCACUGGGUAGGGAACUGCAGGACUUGAGGGCUGGAGAGGUGAACGGAAUUCCCGGUGUAAGGGUGAAAUCUGUAGAUAUCGGGAGGAACACCAGUGGCGUAGGCGGUUCACUGGCCAGCUUCUGACGCUGAGGUGCGAAAGCUAGGGGAGCGAACAGG